UGCCAGCCGCCGCGGUAAUACGGAGGGAGCUAGCGUUGUUCGGAAUUACUGGGCGUAAAGAGUACGUAGGCGGUUAUUCAAGUCAGAGGUGGAAGCCCGGGGCUCAACCCCGGAACGGCCUUUGAAACUAGGUAGCUAGAAUCUUGGAGAGGUCAGUGGAAUUCCGAGUGUAGAGGUGAAAUUCGUAGAUAUUCGGAAGAACACCAGUGGCGAAGGCGACUGACUGGACAAGUAUUGACGCUGAGGUACGAAAGCGUGGGGAGCAAACAGGAUUAGAUA
RNAcentral lists this ribosomal RNA (279 nucleotides) under uncultured bacterium. RNAcentral's name for it is "partial 16S ribosomal RNA". It matches the Rfam family "Bacterial small subunit ribosomal RNA", at positions 506 to 784 of the family's 1533-position model. The record is from RNAcentral.